GAUAUUGGUCAGUGGGGGGAACCCUGAACCAGCGACACCGCGUGAGGGAAGAAGGUUUUCGGAUUGUCCACCUCUGUUGUCGGGGAAGAUAAUGACGGUACCCGAUGAGGAAGCCACGGCUAACUACGUGCCAGCAGCCGCGGUAAUACGUAGGUGGCAAGCGUUGUCCGGAAUUACUGGGCGUAAAGAGCACGUAGGCGGGGAUUUAAGUCAGGUGUGAAAGACCGCAGCUUAACUGCGGGGUUGCACUUGAAACUGAAUUUCUUGAGGGCAGGAGAGGAAAGCAGAAUUCCUGGUGUAGCGGUGAAAUGCGUAGAAAUCAGGAGGAAUACCGGUGGCGAAGGCGGCUUUCUGGACUGACCCUGACGCUGAGGUGCGAAAGCGUGGGUAGCAAACA
This 397-nucleotide ribosomal RNA is filed under the name uncultured bacterium. RNAcentral's name for it is "partial 16S ribosomal RNA". It matches the Rfam family "Bacterial small subunit ribosomal RNA", at positions 359 to 774 of the family's 1533-position model. The record is from RNAcentral.